This 1938-nucleotide ribosomal RNA is filed under the name seawater metagenome. Its description in RNAcentral is "bacterial LSU rRNA". It matches the Rfam family "Bacterial large subunit ribosomal RNA", at positions 1 to 1977 of the family's 2925-position model. The record is from RNAcentral.
UCAAGUAAAGGAAGAGCACAAGGUGAAUGCCUUGGCUGCAUAAGGCGAUGAAGGACGUAAUAACCUGCGAUAAGCCUCGGGGAGCUGGUAAAUAAGCUUCGAUCCGAGGAUUUCCGAAUGGGAAAACCCAAUAUACGUAAGUAUAUUAUCUUAUACUGAAUACAUAGGUAUAAGAGGCGAACCUGGGGAACUGAAACAUCUAAGUACCCAGAGGAAAAGAAAUCAACAGAGAUUCCGGUAGUAGCGGCGAGCGAAACCGGACCAGCCCUUAAGCUUAUUUUAGUCCAGCAAAAUAUUCUGGAAAGUUUGACCAUAGUGGGUGAUAGUCCCGUAUGCGAAAGACUAAUUUAAGUGAAAUCGAGUAGGUCGGAACACGUGAAAUUCUGACUGAAUAUGGGGGGACCAUCCUCCAAGGCUAAAUACUCUAUGCAGACCGAUAGUGAACCAGUACCGUGAGGGAAAGGCGAAAAGAACCCCGGCGAGGGGAGUGAAAUAGAACCUGAAACCUUGUGCUUACAAGCAGUCGGAGCAGACUUGUUCUGUGACGGCGUACCUUUUGUAUAAUGGGUCAACGACUUAAUUUCAGUAGCAAGCUUAACCAUAUAGGGUAGGCGUAGGGAAACCGAGUCUUAAUAGGGCGCUCAGUUGCUGGAAUUAGACCCGAAACCGGGUGAUCUAUCCAUGGCCAGUGUGAAGGUCGAGUAACAUCGACUGGAGGCGCGAACCCACUUAUGUUGAAAAAUGAGGGGAUGAGCUGUGGAUAGGAGUGAAAGGCUAAUCAAACCCGGAGAUAGCUGGUUCUCUUCGAAAACUAUUUAGGUAGUGCCUCGUGUAUUACUGUAGGGGGUAGAGCACUGUUUCGGCUAGGGGGUCAUCCCGACUUACCAAACCGAUGCAAACUCCGAAUACCUACAAGUAUGAGCACGGGAGACAGACUGCGGGUGCUAACGUCCGUAGUCGAGAGGGAAACAACCCAGACUGUCAGCUAAGGUCCCUAAUUAUGAUUAAGUGGGAAACAAUGUGGGAAGGCACAAACAGCUAGGAAGUUGGCUUAGAAGCAGCCAUCUUUUAAAGAAAGCGUAAUAGCUCACUAGUCGAGUCGGCCUGCGUGGAAGAUAUAACGGGGCUAAAUCAUAAACCGAAGCUACAGAUCUUAAAUUUAUUUAAGAUGGUAGAAGAGCGUUCUGUAAGCGGAUGAAGGUGAGCUGAGAGGCGAGCUGGACGUAUCAGAAGUGCGAAUGUUGACAUGAGUAACGAUCAAAGAGGUGAAAAACCUCUUCGCCGAAAAACCAAGGGUUCCUGUCCAACGCUAAUCGUGGCAGGGUGAGGCGGCCCCUAAGGCGAGGGCGAAAGCCGUAGUCGAUGGGAAACAGGUUAAUAUUCCUGUACUUUUUAUAACUGCGAUGGGGUGACGGAGAAGGUUAGGCUAGCACGGCGACGGUUGUCCGUGUUCAAGGUUGUAGGCUGGUGUUCUAGGUAAAUCCGGAACGCCAUAUAGGCUGAGGACUGAUAACGACCACUCUACGAGUGGGAAGUAGCUGAUACCAUGCUUCCAGGAAAAACCUCUAAGCUUCAGGUUAUAAGAAACCGUACCCUAAACCGACACAGGUGGUUAGGUCGAGUAGACCAAGGUGUUUGAGAGAACUAUGGUGAAGGAACUAGGCAAAAUAGCACCGUAACUUCGGGAGAAGGUGCGCUACGUUUGGUGAUGGGACUUGCUCCUUGAGCUAAACGUAGUCGAAGAUACCAGGUGGCUGCGACUGUUUACUAAAAACAUAGCACUCUGCAAACUCGUAAGAGGAAGUAUAGGGUGUGACGCCUGCCCGGUGCCGGAAGGUUAAUUGAUGGGGUUAGCUUCGGCGAAGCUCUUGAUCGAAGCCCCGGUAAACGGCGGCCGUAACUAUAACGGUCCUAAGGUAGCGAAAUUCCUUGUCGGGU